This 433-nucleotide ribosomal RNA is filed under the name uncultured bacterium. Its description in RNAcentral is "partial 16S ribosomal RNA". It matches the Rfam family "Bacterial small subunit ribosomal RNA", at positions 29 to 507 of the family's 1533-position model. The record is from RNAcentral.
AACGAACGCUGGCGGCAUGCCUAACACACGCAAGUCGAACGAGACCUUCGGGUCUAGUGGCGCACGGGUGCGUAACGCGUGGGAACCUGCCCUUAGGUUCGGAAUAACUCCCCGAAAGGGGUGCUAAUACCGGAUAAUGUCUUCGGACCAAAGAUUUAUCGCCUUUGGAUGGGCCCGCGUUGGAUUAGCUAGUUGGUAGGGUAAAAGCCUACCAAGGCGACGAUCCAUAGCUGGUCUGAGAGGAUGAUCAGCCACACUGGGACUGAGACACGGCCCAGACUCCUACGGGAAGCAGCAGUGGGGAAUAUUGGACAAUGGGCGAAAGCCUGAUCCAGCAAUGCCGCGUGAGUGAUGAAGGCCUUAGGGUUGUAAAGCUCUUUUACCCGGGAUGAUAAUGACAGUACCGGGAGAAUAAGCUCCGGCUAACUCCGUG